UGGGGAAUAUUGCACAAUGGGCGCAAGCCUGAUGCAGCCAUGCCGCGUGUAUGAAGAAGGCCUUCGGGUUGUAAAGUACUUUCAGCGGGGAGGAAGGGAGUAAAGUUAAUACCUUUGCUCAUUGACGUUACCCGCAGAAGAAGCACCGGCUAACUCCGUGCCAGCAGCCGCGGUAAUACGGAGGGUGCAAGCGUUAAUCGGAAUUACUGGGCGUAAAGCGCACGCAGGCGGUUUGUUAAGUCAGAUGUGAAAUCCCCGGGCUCAACCUGGGAACUGCAUCUGAUACUGGGAAGCUUGAGUCUCGUAGAGGGGGGUAGAAUUCCAGGGGUAGCGGUGAAAUGCGUAGAGAUCUGGGGGAAUACCGGUGGCGAAGGCGGCCCCCUGGACGAAGACUGACGCUCAGGUGCGAAAGCGUGGGGAGCAAACAGG
This 429-nucleotide ribosomal RNA is filed under the name Chloroflexota bacterium. Its description in RNAcentral is "Chloroflexi bacterium partial 16S ribosomal RNA". It matches the Rfam family "Bacterial small subunit ribosomal RNA", at positions 355 to 776 of the family's 1533-position model. Lineage: Bacteria; Bacillati; Chloroflexota. The record is from RNAcentral.